Molecule: long non-coding RNA, 5819 nt
Filed under: Mytilus galloprovincialis (Mediterranean mussel)
Lineage: Eukaryota; Metazoa; Mollusca; Bivalvia; Mytilida; Mytilidae
Source: RNAcentral
UUCAGCAGCCUUUUGUUUGCAGUAUGUAAUGGUUGCCUCCCUUACUUCAGUUUUGAGAAUGUCCCAAGUAACUCGAGGAUCGUUAUUUUUGGUGAGUAUUAUUUCUUUAUGGGUGUCAAUUAAUUUAAUUAUUAUUUCUUUGUAUUUUGUAUCAUUCAGUAUACUGUUAUUUAUCUUAAAGAAUCCUUUGCCUUUAUUUUGAGCUUUAAGUCUUAUUUGUAAAGAAAUCGCUUGAUGAUCUGUAUGAGAUAUAAGUGCAGGUCUUAUGUCUGCAGAUAUUAUGUGAGGUCUUUUAUCUGGGCUUAUUAGAAAAAAAAAUCAAUUCUGAUUGCAACACUUUUAUUGUUUUUUCUUCUCCAUUUAAACUGGCUGGUGUUUUGAUUUAGUUCUCUCCAAAUAUCAAUAAGUUUAUAUUUUUUUAUUAGUUGCUUUAAACUGUUGACAGGUUUAUUUUGAUUAUUAGAGCUAAUACUUUUUUCUAUCAUAUGAAGUUAAACUUUCAUUCAUGUCACCGCCCAUUGUUAAUAUUCCUAAGCGGUUAUUAUUAAUGAUAUUGUUUACUUUUUUGAAAAAUGUGUUUCUCAUUCGACGAAUGUUAGGAGCAUACACAUUCAGUAGUGUAAAGAUAUUACCAUCAAGUUCUAUAUUAAUGAGUAUUAUUUUUCCAUCAUUAUCUCUAAUUUCAUUUAUAGUUUUAUGUUUUAUGUUCUCUUUGAUAAGAAUUGAUACACCUCUCGAUUGUGAAUUUCCGAAACUAUGGUACAGUUUGCCUUUUAUCUCAUUCUUUAUAACAUUUUCGUUUUUUUUUUUUAAUAAAAUGUGAUUCUUGUAUAAAUAAAAUAUUACACUUUUGAUUUUUUGCACAAUAGGUUUAAUCUUUUCUUUUUUCUUUUUGCCCUAAGCUUGACAGUUUAGGGAACAUAUAUUUAGUUUUUCACUCAUAAUAGAUAUAAUUCAUUUCUAUAUUACACAUGUUCUCAGAAUUAUACAAUAGAGACAAUAGGCUGAGCUUAAAUUGUAACACAACACAUGGUUAUUUGGAAUAGCGGUUUAUUAUAAAGCCCGUCUGGACCAGUGUCCAUAACGGACGGUCUCCUCUAUACAGUAAAAUACACAAGUAUAUAUACAGAAUAUAAACAGUGUCAAGGUUUCUAUUAAUUUGACCAUUUAUAGUCUUAAAUCAAAAGAUACAGGGAUGAAUAUCUAUUAAGUUGAAUCUAAUUGACAUGUUUUGACCAACCUGGAAAUUGAUGGUCAAAGAAUACAUUUAUGUCCAGUGUUUUUAACUAAUUGUUGCUACAUGUCACCACCUGGUCUGCAUGUAAACAUGUAUAUAUGCAACCCAGAGGUCAAUUGAACAACCUUUUACAAGGUCAUGUUUUUUUCUUAAUAGAUAUUCCCCUGUAUUUAUUUUAUUCAAUUUAAUAAACAUUUUGAGAAUAUAUAAUCAUAAAUAUAAAUAUAAAUAUAUUAAAUAUAUAUUUAUAUAUAUAUUUUAAGCCCAUCAUAUUGUCACAUUCCUCCCUUUCUUAAGAAAUAUAAUUUUAUAUUUUAGUUAAAAUCGGUGACAAUAUGAAUGCUUGCAAAUUUCCCUAAAAACAACAAAAAAUAUUCAUAAACAAAAUCAUUUCAAAAGUUCAACAACAUCUAAAUGUUCAGCAAUGUAUAGUUCAUACAAUUCUUGUGUGAAUAACUAAGUUCGUAACAUCAAAUAUCGGAACUUCUUAUUUCUAGAAAAAGGCGCAACCAUCAACUGCGGACCGUCUUCAUAACCCGACUCCAGUGAACUGCUCCUCUGAUCGUCGUUGUCAACUCCAACAAUCCAUUUGUUUAUCUGCAACGCCAAUUCCCGUCAUUUAGAAGUACUGCAAUUGACUCCGACCUGCAUGUGAUCCACCAUCCGUCGUUGAAAACUCCGACUGCAUGUGAUCCACCAUCCGUCGUUGAAACUCCGACCUGCAUGUGAUCCACCAUCCGUCGUUGAAACUCCGACCUGCAUGUGAUCCACCAUCGUUGAAACUCCGACCUGCAUCCACCAUCCGUCGUUGAAAACUCCGACCUGCAUGUGAUCCACCAUCCGUCGUUGAUAACUCCAACCUGCAUGUGAUCCACCAUCCAUUUUUGAAAUUACUCCUAACUGACCUAGCUUACCUACUCUGUUAAUUCAGAGUCCCUGACUAGGUUGCUCAGUUAUCACCGGCUGAAACAUUACAGGCAAAUCUACCUGUGAUGCUGUAGAACGAUUCCCUCUACCAAUAUAAAGUUAUGUGAUCGUAUAGUUUUAUGUACAUCUAAACGUCUGCGUUGUGUCCAAAAUCAAAGCCAAUAUCCAAUACUGGAUAAUGGUUCUUAGUGGCUGGUUCUUGUAAUGGUGCAGAAGCUAUUUUAACAUCUCUGGAGGCAGUACCAUCGCCCUCAACAUUAGUUGACACCAUUUGAUCGCCACCAAGGUAUCGUGUGACUAUUUGAACCUCUCUAUUACUAAAUUAUUCUCUUGGCUAAACACCUAUUCUUAAACUUAAGAAUAUAUUAAUAACAAAAUACCUAUAAAUAUAGCAACAAAAUGAAUUAAUGCAUUUACUAAAUUUGAUAGUUCCAAAGUCGUCCUCAAUCAGUUAUUAUAUUAUUGCCUUAAUUUGGUAAAUGGACUUAUAAAAUUAAUAUUUCAUUUACUUAUAAAUAACUAGAAUAUAAAAACUCGAAAAAAAAAUGGUUUCCAUAUUAAAGUUUACUUUUUUCCUAAAUUAUAUAAUUAAACUGUUUCUACUGUGUAGCAAUUUCCCGAAAAAAAAACAACCUUUCGCUCUCGCAUCACUGAAAAGGUGUUAUAAUAAGGUUUGACAUUCAACCAACACUUUCCUUCCUUUUUCAUAAACAAAGCUGUGAUUCAGAGAUUACUGAUAUUUAUAGGAUUUCUAAACAAUCAACAAUUUUUCAACGAUCAAUCUGAAGCGAGAAUUAGAAUGAUUAAUCAAAACAAAAUUAUUUUAUAUACACAUAUAUUUAUUUAAAAACAAUCAUCACGAAGCCUAUAUAUGUCUACGUCGUUUUAGUCGUGCAUUUUAUUAAAGAUAACAAGAAAUGUUUGAGAGAAAGUUUAACAUUAAUUGAUCUUUCUUUCAGACUUAUGAAUUUUCGUUUAUAUUUCUUUCGGUAUUUUUGAUUUUUCAACAGGCAUGUCUUUGCUACUUUCUAAAUUAUAUCUAUCAGAACUAUUAUCAUUUGUCAUAUCACUUCAAACCGGAAGUUAUAGAUGACCUUAUGCUCCUCUUUUUCUCAUUUUUUCUUGGUUUGCUAAUUUUCUUUUAAUUCAAUCAGCAUCACAUUAAAAUAUUUGCGGAAGAUGUAUCGCGUUAUUGUUUAUAACGAUUAAUCAUAUGAUACUUAUUUCCAUAUUUUAAGUCCUUAAUUGUUUUAUCAUGAAAACAUUUUCAUUUUUAACCCUUAGUAUAAAUUUAUGUACUCUAUAAAUAAUCCUAUAUUUCAUCUAUCGCUAAAUACUUUUAAAACUUAUAAAACCCUACAUUUUCCUAAGAGUGGACUUAAACAAUUACAUGCAUAUCAAUUUUUUUUAUCAUUUGUGUGCUAUCUUCUGACGAUAGGUCUGCCAUUCUUUAAAAAUACCACAAUAACUGUGCCAAAAUAAAGGUUUGGAUUCUAAAUACCAUAGAAUAUUUUGUUUCUCUAAACAAAUGUGCUUACGCACUUACCCAACUGAGUCAACCAUAUUUAAAACAACUAUAUGAUUAUAACAUCGCAGAAAUACCCUUAAAUACGUCGCCAAAAGUGUUCUUAUGAAACUUUUCUUAUACCAAUGUAUAUAGGCGCGUAUAUAUUCUAGAAUUACAGAUUCGUCUCUUCAGAAAACAGCUCAAAAUAUGAAUCAAAAAUUAAAUUAUUAUAUUCAAAAUCAAGAUAUAUUAAAUGUUUUAAUAUUAUCAUUAUUCAUGCAGUUUAAUACUUUAAAAUAUAACCAACAUCUUUAAAAUAUUUUAACCUAUUGUUAUUUAAUUCUUAAAUAUUAAUAUUCAAGUGUGUUGUUUUUUUCUUAUUUAAAUAUCUAUUCUGUCUUUUAAAAAACAGCAUAUAAAAACUUCUCAUUAUAUCAUUACAAUAUGUACGCAAAUCUUAUAUAUUGACUUAUACUAUCAAAUACCUAACAAAGAUGCCAGUCUUUUAUAUUGACUAAAACAAUCAAAUACCUAUUAUAAGUACCUUCACCCGUAUGAUAAUGAUUACAUGAAAAAAUAUCAAUAAAAAAUUUAAACCUUCACCAUUGAUUCGUAAAAAAAAUAAAUAUCUAUUUAUACAUUUUCUCUUAAAAAAUUUUAUUGAAUGAAACAUUUUUUUUAAUGAGUUAAUCAGCAGCUUGAUCAUGAACAAUUGUGCUCACAUCUGAUACACCUAUUCCUAAUUUAUCUGAUUUAGAACCAUCAAAGCUUUCAAUCGAAUUAAUGCCGUUUUUAAAUAUCUUUUGAAUGAGACUUUGAACUUGUGUUUCUAAAUUUUGAAAAACAGACCCUACAUUGAAAUCUUGUCUAGCCAUUUUGAGAAAUAAAAUAAAGAGUAUCAAAUAAAAAGUCACUUUACCUUAAUAUCCUUUGGUCACGGUUAACCAAAAAUAACCACAUGUAACACAACACAUGGUUAUUUGGAAUAGCGGUUUAUUAAAGCCCGUCUGGACCAGUGUCCAUAACGGACGGUCUCCUCUAUACAGUCAAAUACAUAAGUAUAUAUACAGAAUAUAAACAGUGUCAAGGUUUCUAUUAAUUUGACCAUUAUAGUCUUUAAAUCAAAAGAUACAGGGAUGAAUAUCUAUUAAGUUGACUCUAAUUGACAUGUUUUGACCAACCUGGAAAUUGAUGUUUGAAGAAUACAUGUAUGCCCAGUGUCACUAACUAAUUGUAAUGGCUAUAUGUCACCACCUGGUCUGCAUGUAAACAUGUUAUAUGCAACCCAGAGGUCAAUUGAACAACCUUUUACAAGGUCAUGUUUUUCUUAAUAGAUUCCCCUGUAUUUAUUUUAUUCAAUUUAAUUUUGAGAAUAUAUAAUCAUAAAUAUAAAUAGAAAUAUAUUUAUAUAUAUUUUUUAAGCCCAUCAUAUUGUCACAAAAUAAUAGAUAAGUUGGUGUCAUAUUGUUAAUACACAAACUUAUAAUUUUUACAUACACAUAUAAAGUAUACACAUAUAAAUUAUACAAAUUGGGAUAUAUUUCUAAAUAACAUAGUGUCAUGCGUUUAAAACCAACAUUAAUAACAAUCAAUAGUAUGUUGUAUGAGAUAGUCAUACAUGUAUACUUUAUAUUCCAAUAAGGAAGAAAAUUCAAUCUUAUUAUUGUUACAUUUAUUUUUAUUUUCAGGUUGAGUCUAUUGCAUAGAAGAGAUUUUUGCAACAAUUGUAAUUUGUUUUUAAAUAUCAUGUGAAAAACAAGGAAGAAGAGCUCAAGAAGAUGAAAUGAUUGUGCAAUGCAUAUGUCAUGUAUGUGUGACGUACAUUUGUUGGAAUUUAACAGACAUAAUAGUCUUGGAUUUGUGAUAGUGAUUGGAUUAUGUCUGCGUGAAAAUGUGAUUCUAGAAUUUUUCUGAUCUAAUCUGAAUGUCUUUGCAUAAAGAACUGCUGAUGUAUCAUAACAUUUUUUUGGCAUAAGAAAAUUGUUACAGAUUUCGUUAACAAAACAUUUGAUAGCUUUGAUCCAGUUUUUGAUAUGACAUAUAAUUGGUGGAUGAUGUAUGGAAAUUUGUUUGUCAUAAAGUGAAUCGUGGAUUUUUAAAAAGAUAAUGCUAUUCAGUAUCAAAAAUAAAUUACAUUUAUUUCUAUAA